GAUGAAGAACGUAGCGAAAUGCGAUACUUGGUGUGAAUUGCAGAAUCCCGUGAACCAUCGAGUCUUUGAACGCAAGUUGCGCCCGAAGCCAUUAGGCCGAGGGCACGCCUGCCUGGGCGUCACACGUCGUUGCCCCCCCAUCUACUCCUUCGGGAUUGCGGGGGGCGGAUGAUGGCCUCCCGUGCGCCUCGUCGCGCGGUUGGCAUAAAUGCCAAGUCCUCGGCGACGCACGCCACGACAAUCGGUGGUUGCGAAACCUCGGUUGCCCGUCGUGUGCGGUCGUCGCGCAUCGAGGGCUCGAAAAAAUUGCCGGGCUCCGGCUCGGCUUUCAACGCGACCCCAGGUCAGGCGGGGUUGCCCGCUGAAUUUAAGCAUAUCAAUAAGCGGAGGA
RNAcentral lists this unclassified non-coding RNA (391 nucleotides) under soil metagenome. Its description in RNAcentral is "partial contains 5.8S ribosomal RNA, internal transcribed spacer 2, and large subunit ribosomal RNA". The stretch from base 1 to 122 matches the Rfam family "5.8S ribosomal RNA", at positions 35 to 154 of the family's 154-position model. The record is from RNAcentral.